This is a non-coding RNA of Nylanderia fulva, 897 nucleotides long. Lineage: Eukaryota; Metazoa; Arthropoda; Insecta; Hymenoptera; Formicidae. The record is from RefSeq and is a predicted model, not a curated record.
UGGCAGCUCUUAUUCUCUAUUAUUAUCGAUAGUAUCGAUAGUAUCGAUACAGAUCCAUUUCGAGAAUCGCAAUUUCGUCUCGAACCCCUGCCAGUCGUGAAGGCGCCGAGGCAGCGAUUUGAAUCGCUCCGUAUUUCUCGCGAUCGGAGCCGCGUUAAAAGUGAAUCUCGCGCGCUAAAAGUCGUCUCUCGCGAAAGUGUCGGACGUUUCUCGCGCGGGAUCAAUCGAGUACCGAGUGUCAGCGGCGUAAUGCAGUAAUAUAGCGCAUCGCGAGUUGGAUGUGAACGGGAGCCGGUAGAAUCCUUCCUCGCCAUUACCGUUUUUUUCGCCAAGUGCAACGAAAAUCGCAGUAAAAGUGAAUCUCGCGCGCGAAAAUCGUCUCUCCGCGAAAUGUUGGGUAUUUUGUCGCAAGGAAUUAAAUCGAGUGUCAGUGAUAUAUAGUGCAACAGUGUAUAUAGUGCAUCACGAUUUGGAUAUACAAUAUAUCAUCGAGCACCGACAGGAUUUUCCUUCCACCAUCUUCUCGUCUUUUCCUCAAGUGCGAAAAUUGAUUCAUCGAUCGUCCUCGGUGGCAGUGCGAUUCACGCGUCGUAUCGGGAGUGCCGUGUAAAGUUUCGCGCGUCGGGAGUGCCGUGUAAAGUUUCGGGCGAUCGUAAUUAUUCGUAUUUUCGCGAGUGUCGUGAGUGCUACGAAGGACCAAGAGAGGAGGAGGAGGCCCGGGGAGGCAUCGGGCGACAGCGAGGCAAUUGUGAGAUCAACGUGCUGUGCACUACAACUCCGCAUCGCGUGUAUUGAUGUCAUUCGACAUGCACGAGGAAGCGACACUGUCCACAUUCCCACGAGCGACUUCCACGGAACGUGAAUGUAUUACAACUCUGCUAUUGCGCACGUACUGGU